UUUUAUUCCUACAGGCAUUAAUUUUUUUUAGAUAGUUUGAAGAAAAAUAAUACUAUCAGUUUAUAUUGAAUAUAGCCUUCAUAAUUAAUAACUUUGAUUUGCUGUCGUAAAAUAUGUACAUUGAUGUGAUACACACAAUCAUUGGAACCAGUUUGGUAAUUGCCUCUGGCCGGUGCAAAAUUGUAUAUACCUCUAAAAAACAUAUUUUGCCAACUUAGCAACUUUUCAGACCCCUUUUGCGACUUUUUUUCCUAGAAAGCGCGUCGUGACGAAUAUACUUGUUAACCUGAUCUAGCUUCCGAGACCCACCGGUACUGCCACAUGAGCGCAAUAUUUUGCUUGCUUUCACCUCUCUCUGCGUCUGCUGUUCAGUGAGUGGCUGAGAGGAGCAGCGCAUUCAGUUGAGGAUGUGCGCUCUGUCAGAGAAGAAAUAAAAUAGAUACUAUUGCUUCUAACCUGACUGAGUGAUCAUUUUACAUGUACAUAAAACGUUAGCCAAAAUCACAGCAACUGUCUUUAUCUUAUGUGUAUUGUGAUUUUGUCAGACAACGUCUUGAUUAUAAAUCAGGAUUUUAGUGCCGGUUUAACAUGUCAGGGCUCAACACUAACGCUUUUCAAUUAGUCCGGGAUACGUGGAUUUUUUGAAGGGGCAAGUGAAAGAGAAUUUUACUUGCCCGGCCGGACAAGGACCUGCUUAAAACAUCAAUACUAAACAUUUAGCGACAUGUAUAUGGCAUUAAAAAAAAAAAAAAUGGCAUUAAAAAGGCAUUAAAAAGCAUUAAAUUAGAUUUGAUGAAACCUGCAGAAACCCUGAAUGUGAUCAAACAUUUUUUGUCUGACAGAUGAAAAUUCACAUAGGCUCAUUUUGAAGGAGUCAACUAUUGACCAUAAUAUCAUAAGAAUCCACUAAGAUGCUGCCUAAAGCCCCCUAGCAACCAUUUAGCAAUGCCCUAUAACCCAGAAAACCCUAGCAAUGUAGCUGAAGCUUCAGAGUAGAGAAGCACCACGUUUUCUUCGGAAAAUGUAAAACCUAGUAAAGCUACAAUCACACUCUUAGAAAAAAGAUUGAAUGAGGUUCUAUACAGAACCACAGGGUUCUUGACUCAAUUUUAAAGAACACUUUAUGCCAAAAAGAUUCUAUAUAAGAAGAAAUGUCAUAAAUGAUUAUACUGUUAAGUUCACAAAGGGUUAUUUCAUUUUUUUCUCAGUUCUGUUUUAGUGCUUGUAAUGCAAUGUCUCUUAAUUCGUCUAUUUUUUUCUUUUUUUCAGGUUUCUUUUUUCCUUUCACAUCUCUCUUUCGCUCUAUGUCUUUCUUGACCUUGCGGAGCACCCAUGAUUGAUGGGUUGGGGACAAUGUUAUAGCAGGUUCUGUACGUUCUAGAUUAAUGAUGUUUGGCUCAGAUUUACAGGUAUUUGGCUGUAAAACUGCCUCUGUUGUAUGGACAUCAUAGACAAUUUUUAAAGUAAAAGCUGUCAAAAGGUUAUUCAGGAUGUAGGACAUACUGAAUCUGUUUCUUUUCAAUACUGCUGAAUUUGUGCGUGUGUGUGUGUGUGUUCAUUCUGUCCUCUACUGGACAAGAGCAGUUAUGACAGGUGCCCAACCACUCCCCAAAGGUCCAACCCUGUUAGUCAACAUUCACAGACAACACAUCUCAGACAGAUAUUGCUGAUCUAGGAUCAGGUUGGACCUGUCCGUUGUUACUUUACUUUAAAAUGUAAACUGAUCCAGAAACUGGAGUUGUAGUUUGACAUUCACCAGGGGGCAUGACAUCAGACCUUAUUUAGUAUGUGCUUCAGACAGGGAGGUGUAUGUUGUGACGGAUGGUCUGGGCUUGGGCUUGGGCUGGGCUGGGGCAGGUGGAGGGAUGUUUUUGACUACCGCCAGAUGACACUUGUCCCUCACACAACUGACCUCUAAAGGCUUUAAGUAAUUUUGGUAUAUUGCGGAUUUAGUUAAUAUGCAGUGUACAUAUUAUAAUGUUAUCAUCAUUAUACUGAAACCAUUUACAAACAUUUUGUUUACUUAUUUACCACAUAUUUAUUCAUACGAUCAAUAUGCAUUUGUGCUUUAAUUACAAAUGAAAAAUUGAUUGCAAUUGACAACUUGUUUCUCAUUAAAAACCUUUUGAUCUAAAAAUUACUUAACUGCUUAACAUUAGUUUUGUCAAGAAUGGAAAGGUGUAAUCCAGACAAAGUGUGGCUACUUAAGGUAGGUUUGUGUGUGUGUGUGUGUGUGUAUAUAUAUAUAUAUAUAUAUAUAUAUAUAUAUUUAAGUAUUUCACGUGCAUAUAAUAUACUAAUAUAAUACUGCCAAAGUAUGCAUAUAAUCUUUCCUUAGGUGUGAAAUUACUUACAGGAAAUUACUACAUUAUUUGAGAUGGCGCUACGAAGAAGCAUUUAAUAAAGUGGAAUAGAAUGGGACAGCGCUUCUAUUCAUGUAACGCAGACCUGUGGUCAUGGUUGCAUGCCAUGUGCAGUAACUCACUGCUGCUCUCAAACUGUAGCCAUAAUGUGCCAUUAUCUUCCACGCAAAUUUGUAUUUAAUUUGUUUGAGACUGUUUGUUGUGAUUACUUGAGUAUAUGAAGGCCAAGGAUCUCGCUACACUACUGUGGGACGGGACGUAAAUCCUUUUAAACACAGGAAAGGACAGCAAAGGAGAAGAACAGAGGAAGGGAAGCGAAAAAUAAUAGGAGUGUGCUUCUUCUGCUGUUUAAUCUCCAGACAGUCCCUAAUUUCUCUAAUUAUCAAGCUGCUAAGCAAACAGAGGCAAGCAGGCAGGAAUUGGCCGUCUCCUGCAGCUUACACUUCGGGGGGUCGUGUCUAAUUUGAGGGAAGACCCGGUCCAUCUCUUGCACGAACACAUCUAGGGCUAACACACCCCUACCAGCACGGCCCCUCCCUUUCAACCCCUACCCACAUGCACCAGCUUUAUGGCAGAUGGCGUAGUUCACCCUCCCUCUGAACCUCCAUUCUACCCCCACCCUCCGCAGCUUUUGUGCCCCUGUGCGUGCGGUGCUUGGGGGCUGCGACAACAACAGCCCUCCCCACUGCUUCCUCCCGCCCUGUCCCCAUUGUAAAUCGGGUUCUGGCUUCAUGCAUGGCGCUGCAAUCAGGUGCCCUAACAGGGUUGUCAGCACCCAAAAAAUCAUUUUAAUCCCAGUGGUGGUGCGUCAGGGCCACUGGAGUUCGUAGUACUUUCUUGACGCACUUGACCGGGUUUGAUCCCGAACCAUUGGGAGAAUCUCCAGAACAUUCAAAAGGCCUGUUGCAGUACUAUGUUUUCAAUAACUUAUUAUUAACUUGUUUGCUUAAAGGUGCUCAAAAAAGUUUUUGACUGUACUAAAGCAUAAAAAAAAAAAACAUAAUAUGU
Molecule: long non-coding RNA, 3371 nt
Organism: Megalobrama amblycephala (Wuchang bream)
Lineage: Eukaryota; Metazoa; Chordata; Actinopteri; Cypriniformes; Xenocyprididae
Exons: 3
Source: RefSeq, a predicted model, not a curated record